AUACGGAGGGGGCGAGCGUUAUUCGGAAUUACUGGGCGUAAAGCGCACGUAGGCGGCGAAGCAAGUCGAAGGUGAAAGCCCUCGGCUCAACCGAGGAAUUGCCUUCGAAACUGCUUCGCUUGAGUCCGGGAGGGGGGAGCGGAAUUCCCAGUGUAGCGGUGAAAUGCGUAGAUACUGGGAGGAACACCGGUGGCGAAGGCGGCUCCCUGGACCGGUACUGACGCUGAGGUGCGAAAGCGUGGGUAGCAAACGGGAUUAGAAACCCUAGUAGUCC
This 274-nucleotide ribosomal RNA is filed under the name uncultured bacterium. RNAcentral's name for it is "partial 16S ribosomal RNA". It matches the Rfam family "Bacterial small subunit ribosomal RNA", at positions 523 to 796 of the family's 1533-position model. The record is from RNAcentral.